CUUGUGAACCAGUGGCAGGCCGAUCUUUUCUCUCCGUUUGAUCUGAAAUUCAGGCAGGAUACAAGGAGUGAAAAGGCUGCAAAGUGGUGAGACCACUGCAGUACUUUGCUGAUGCCGCAGAUCGCACAGCUCCUCUCAGUGGGAUGGAAAUGCAUCACUAGGAUUUAAUAACUUUCCUUAAGAGAUGAAAAUGAAAUGGAGUGGCAGACCAGCCUUCCCUGAUGACAUCGAAUCAUACCUGUGUCGACACUCCACUGGACAAUUGUGCAAAAUGCAGAGGCAGGGGAGGGACCUGGACCUGGGAGCUGUUCUUUGCUAU
This is a long non-coding RNA of Brienomyrus brachyistius, 319 nucleotides long. RefSeq lists it as uncharacterized. The transcript has 3 exons. NCBI's taxonomy places the organism in Eukaryota, Metazoa, Chordata, Actinopteri, Osteoglossiformes, Mormyridae. The record is from RefSeq and is a predicted model, not a curated record.